This 52-nucleotide non-coding RNA is filed under the name human gut metagenome. The record is from RNAcentral. RNAcentral also lists the same sequence under 1 other name.
UCAGGGGAAAGAUUUGAAUGCUUGCAACCCCGAGUAAAAAAAUGCUAAAAAU